GACGAACCGUGCGAACGUUGUUCGGAAUCACUGGGCUUAAAGGGCGCGUAGGCGGGUCGGAAAGUCCGCGGUGAAAUCCCCCCGCUCAACGGGGGAACGGCCGCGGAUACUGUCGGCCUCGAGGGGGGUAGGGGCGAGCGGAACGCUGGGUGGAGCGGUGAAAUGCGUUGAUAUCCAGCGGAACUCCGGUGGCGAAGGCGGCUCGCUGGACCUUCACUGACGCUGAGGCGCGAAAGCCAGGGGAGCGAACGGG
This 253-nucleotide ribosomal RNA is filed under the name uncultured bacterium. Its description in RNAcentral is "partial 16S ribosomal RNA". It matches the Rfam family "Bacterial small subunit ribosomal RNA", at positions 524 to 776 of the family's 1533-position model. The record is from RNAcentral.